Molecule: ribosomal RNA, 467 nt
Filed under: uncultured bacterium
Lineage: Bacteria
Description: partial 16S ribosomal RNA
Rfam family: Bacterial small subunit ribosomal RNA
Source: RNAcentral
GACGAACGCUGGCGGCGUGCUUAACACAUGCCAGUCGAACGGAAAGGCCCUGCUUUUGGGGGGUGCUCGAGUGGCGAAGGGGUGUGUAACACGUGAGUAACCUGCCCCUGACUUUGGGAUAACUUCAGGACACGGGGGAUAAUACCGGAUAGGAGCUCCUGCUGGAUGGUGGGGGUUGGAAAUUUUCGGCGGUUGGGGAUGGACGCGCGGUUUAUCAGCUUGUUGGGGGGGUAGUGGCUUACGAAGGCUUUGACGGGUAGCCGGCCUGAGAGGGUGACCGGCCACAUUGGGACUGAGAUGCGGCCCAGACCCCUACGGGGGGGAGGAGGGGAGAAUAUUGCAAAAGGGGCGGAAGCCUGGUGGAGAAACGCCGCGGGCGGGAUGACGGCUUUCGGGGUGUAAACCGCUUGCGCCGGAGGCGAAGCGUGGGGGAGGUUAAUGGAUAAAGAAGCACCGCUUACCUACGG